Melospiza melodia melodia is the source of this 254-nucleotide long non-coding RNA. RefSeq lists it as uncharacterized. The transcript is spliced from 3 exons. Lineage: Eukaryota; Metazoa; Chordata; Aves; Passeriformes; Passerellidae. The record is from RefSeq and is a predicted model, not a curated record.
GCAGGUCCCACAAGGUGAGCAGAUCCAGGUGAGCAGGUCCAGAGGCACAGAUCCCACAAGGUGUGAGCAGGUCCAGGUGAGCAGGUCCCACAAGAUGAGCAGGUCCUGGGAGUGCUCAGGUGAGCAGAUCCAGAUGAGGAGGUCCCACAGUCUGUAGGGUCCAGGUGAGCAGGUCCCACAAGGUGAGGAGGUCCAGGUGAGCAGAUCCAGGGACACAGAUCCAGGUGAGCAGGUCCAGGGAGUGCUCAAGUGAG